UAGGGAAUCUUCCACAAUGGACGCAAGUCUGAUGGAGCAACGCCGCGUGAGUGAAGAAGGCUUUCGGGUCGUAAAACUCUGUUAUUGGAGAAGAACGUGUGUGACAGUAACUGGUCAUGCCGUGACGGUAUUCAAUCAGAAAGCCACGGCUAACUACGUG
RNAcentral lists this ribosomal RNA (160 nucleotides) under uncultured Lactobacillus sp. RNAcentral's name for it is "partial 16S ribosomal RNA". It matches the Rfam family "Bacterial small subunit ribosomal RNA", at positions 355 to 507 of the family's 1533-position model. The record is from RNAcentral. Lineage: Bacteria; Bacillati; Bacillota; Bacilli; Lactobacillales; Lactobacillaceae.